Molecule: ribosomal RNA, 457 nt
Filed under: uncultured Porticoccus sp.
Lineage: Bacteria; Pseudomonadati; Pseudomonadota; Gammaproteobacteria; Cellvibrionales; Porticoccaceae
Description: bacterial SSU rRNA
Rfam family: Bacterial small subunit ribosomal RNA
Source: RNAcentral
GGGCUGCAGUGGGGAAUAUUGGACAAUGGGGGAAACCCUGAUCCAGCCAUGCCGCGUGUGUGAAGAAGGCCUUCGGGUUGUAAAGCACUUUCAGUAGGGAGGAAAAGUUGAUGGCUAAUACCCAUCAGCCCUGACGUUACCUACAGAAGAAGCACCGGCAAACUCCGUGCCAGCAGCCGCGGUAAUACGGAGGGUGCGAGCGUUAAUCGGAAUUACUGGGCGUAAAGCGCGCGUAGGCGGUUUGAUAAGCUGGAUGUGAAAGCCCUGGGCUCAACCUGGGAACUGCAUCCAGAACUGUCUGACUAGAGUACAGUAGAGGUGAGUGGAAUUUCCUGUGUAGCGGUGAAAUGCGUAGAUAUAGGAAGGAACAUCAGUGGCGAAGGCGGCUCACUGGACUGAUACUGACGCUGAGGUGCGAAAGCGUGGGGAGCAAACAGGAUUAGAUACCCUAGUAGUC